UACGUAGGGGGCAAGCGUUGUCCGGAAUUAUUGGGCGUAAAGAGCUCGUAGGCGGUUUGUCGCGUCGACUGUGAAAACCCGAGGCUUAACCUCGGGCCUGCAGUCGAUACGGGCAGACUAGAGUUCGGUAGGGGAGACUGGAAUUCCUGGUGUAGCGGUGAAAUGCGCAGAUAUCAGGAGGAACACCGGUGGCGAAGGCGGUUCUCUGGGCAUUACCUGACGCUGAGGAGCGAAAGUGUGGGGAGCGAACAGG
RNAcentral lists this ribosomal RNA (253 nucleotides) under uncultured bacterium. Its description in RNAcentral is "partial 16S ribosomal RNA". It matches the Rfam family "Bacterial small subunit ribosomal RNA", at positions 524 to 776 of the family's 1533-position model. The record is from RNAcentral.